Ornithorhynchus anatinus (platypus) is the source of this 137-nucleotide non-coding RNA. The record is from Rfam. Lineage: Eukaryota; Metazoa; Chordata; Mammalia; Monotremata; Ornithorhynchidae.
UUCCUCUCAGGAUCACACCUGAAGAGUUCCCAUACUCUACCAGUCUCGACUAUAGGAGGGAGAGUCAGGCAGAAGCAUAUCCAUUCCAUUCCUAGCUUGGGCAGUGGCUAGUGAGUGGAAGGCUGUCUGCAACAAGU